AUAAACAUGAAUCUCUUGUAAAAAGAAAAAAAAUCAUUGAAGGAACAUAUUGAAUGAAAAUGGUAUACCUGGCACUUUGGAUUUAUAAUUCUUACACUGUAAUAACCUCAUUAUCUUAUUUUAUCUUCUAUACCAGUAUAUGUAUAUAUCUGCUAGUUACAUGCAAACAAAUGAGUCUGUGAUAACAAUAUUGAGAAGUUGGGCAAUCUAUAUAUUUUUACUAUGACUAUUACUUAACAUCUACAGAUCUGAUAAUAUUUGUUAUAAAAUACUUUUCUUUCAAACCUUGAAAUGGAUUCAUCUAAGUGCCAAGAAAAAAAUAAGUAUCUAAAAAUGUCUUCUCUGGAGAUUUAUGCUGGGAAGUGUCAGAACAAUGGGCAAAGUACAACUGAGAGGGCUCAGUGAGGCUCAGUCACUGCCAGGCCCCAAGUGUUCCAGAAGAUUAGCACUGUCGUAAGCGUAAUUAUGAUAGAUGAUGAUUAGGUGCUAUCUUUGGUUGUUUUUUCUGGCUUUCUUUGACAUGCUUGUCUUAAUUAAAUCCAAACUAGAAUGAAAAAUAAGAAAAUCUGCCAUUUAACCUACUGUAUAAAAAGCCAAAAUUACACAUCAGCUCAUAUUUAUUCAUCUUUAACAAGAAAAGCAAUGCCAUUGGAGAUUAAUCAAGUGUUGUUGUUUUUAUUUAACUCUUAUAUCUUUUAGAUUUAUGUUUACUAGAAGCCAUGGAUGUGAAAGUAUGUAAAAUUAUAAGACUCUGGGAAGACAGACUGAGAAUAGAGGAGAAAUAAUCUGCCAUGUUGUUAGCUCCCCUGUGAGGAGACCCAUGUGAUGAGGAACUGAGGCCUGACAACAGUCAGAAGAGUGGGCUUGGAAGUGGAUCCUUAAGCUCCAAACCUUGAGAUGAUCCCAUUUCUGGCCAACAUCUUGACAGAAAUCUGAUGCAAGACCCUGAGCCAGAACCACCCAGUUUAGCUGUACCCUGAUCCUUGACCCUGAGGAAUUGUUUCAGAAGAAACUACCUUAAUGAAGAAACAGAAGGGAAAGACGUGAAAACCUCCAGAGUUCUUCAGAAAGGCUUCCUUUGCAUAGAAUCGUUCAUCAAUUUCAACAGUAACAGAAAGUAACGGAAACGUGAUCUGAAUGAGUAGCUGAAAAUUGAGUAGUAACUUAACACUCCAUUGAAGUUUUUCAUCAGAUAUGGGGCACAGCUUGACCCUCGUAUUAUAAAUAUUUAAAUGCUUUGGAUAUUUUGCCAAAGUUUAAGCAUUUCUUCCCAAAGGAACAGUGGUGAUAUAAUGUGAGUCAUGCUAAAGUACUUAACCAUCAGUGGGCAGAUUUUGUGGCAUGAAUUUUUGUAAUGAUUUUAAGUAAGACCCGGUAUAUUCACAAAUAUCCAAAACUUUAUUUAGAACUGUAUGGGAAGCUAUUCUAUCUAAAAGCUCAUUCUUAUUAAAAGUAUUUUUUCAGGAAAUAAAAUGAUGUUAAACCUGGAAGUCUCCAGCAAAGAGACUGAUUUUUUUUUAGAUGCUCCCAACUCAGUAAAUUUUGCUUUCCUAUUUUCUUAUUUUUGUACGUAUGCCACUGAUGUCUAGCUUAUACACUUCUGUUAUAUUUACAGCUGUUUACAACCAUUGAACCAAAAGUUCUAUACCUGUUGAAUGUCUAAAAGUAGAGAAAAUUAAUUGAAAAGCAAUAGGUUAAGAAUCAACCUGUGGUCCCAAGAAAAAGAAGUAAAAUCCUAUAAAAUUCUUAAAGCAUUUCCUCUAUAAAUAUUUGAAAGUUAUUUAAUCUUUUGGUCUUUAUAGUGCCUGGAUUGACAUUCUGCAUUAACUAUGGAAUCAUUUUUAUAAGGAAUAUUUUGUGAUUUGUAUAAGAAAAAGUAUUUCUCAAUGGCAUAGGAAGAGCUUUGCUAACUCUUAGAAGAAAGAGGGAAGAGAAGAGGGAAGGAAACAAGUAAAACGAACUGGUGGUACAUCGUGUAUUAAGAGAUAAUACAAGGAUAUCAUACUAUAAUGUUUUCAGACAAAAAUUAUGGACAGGCUAAUUCGUGAAAUAAGAUGAAGACCUAAAAGGUAGCAAUGAUCCUAUACACUAUACUCUGUAACAGUUGUUUUCAAACUGCUUUUUAAACAUAAAAACAAUUUUAAAUCCACUAUUUUAGCACAUUCUGGUCUUAUAUAGUAAUUACAUGGCUAUAUUUUUCCAGUGUGACAUAUUUAAAAUACAUAUCAUUAAAUUUCUGGUUAAUCUUAAACAUGGAAAUAAAGUACGAAAUUUCUAGUUGUUGAAGUAUGUUUAAAAUAAAAUAUAUUAAAAUAUCA
RNAcentral lists this long non-coding RNA (2318 nucleotides) under Homo sapiens (human). Its description in RNAcentral is "HSALNT0329440". The record is from RNAcentral. Lineage: Eukaryota; Metazoa; Chordata; Mammalia; Primates; Hominidae.